AGAGUUUGAUUCUGGCUCAGGAUGAACGCUAGCUACAGGCUUAACACAUGCAAGGUCGAGGGGCAGCAUUGGGGUAGCAAUACUCAGAUGGCGACCGGCGCACGGGUGAGUAACACGUAUCCAACCUGCCGCUUACUCGGGGAUAGCCUUUCGAAAGAAAGAUUAAUACCCGAUGGUAUAAAGAGUUCGCAUGUUCUCUUUAUUAAAGAAUUUCGGUAAGCGAUGGGGAUGCGUUCCAUUAGAUAGUUGGCGGGGUAACGGCCCACCAAGUCUACGAUGGAUAGGGGUUCUGAGAGGAAGGUCCCCCACAUUGGAACUGAGACACGGUCCAAACUCCUACGGGAGGCAGCAGUGAGGAAUAUUGGUCAAUGGACGAGAGUCUGAACCAGCCCAAGUAGCGUGAAGGAUGACUGCCCUAUGGGUUGUAAACUUCUUUUAUAAGGGAAUAAAGUGAGGGACGUGUCCCUUUUUGUAUGUACCUUAUGAAUAAGGAUCGGCUAACUCCGUGCCAGCCGCCGC
RNAcentral lists this ribosomal RNA (519 nucleotides) under uncultured bacterium. Its description in RNAcentral is "bacterial SSU rRNA". It matches the Rfam family "Bacterial small subunit ribosomal RNA", at positions 8 to 518 of the family's 1533-position model. The record is from RNAcentral.